RNAcentral lists this ribosomal RNA (492 nucleotides) under uncultured bacterium. RNAcentral describes it as "partial 16S ribosomal RNA". It matches the Rfam family "Bacterial small subunit ribosomal RNA", at positions 29 to 507 of the family's 1533-position model. The record is from RNAcentral.
AGUGAACGCUGGCGGUAGGCCUAACACAUGCAAGUCGAACGGCAGCACAGUAAGAGCUUGCUCUUACGGGUGGCGAGUGGCGGACGGGUGAGGAAUACAUCGGAAUCUACUUUUUCGUGGGGGAUAACGUAGGGAAACUUACGCUAAUACCGCAUACGACCUACGGGGGAAAGCAGGGGAUCUUCGGACCUUGCGCGAUUGAAUUAGCCGAUGUCGGAUUAGCUAGUUGGCGGGGUAAAGGCCCACCAAGGCGACGAUCCGUAGCUGGUCUGAGAGGAUGAUCAGCCACACUGGAGCUGAGACACGGUCCAUACUCCUACGGGAGGCAGCAGUGUGGAAUAUUGGACAAUGGGCGCAAGCCUGAUCCAGCCAUACCGCGUGGGUGAAGAAGGCCUUCGGGUUGUAAAGCCCUUUUGUUGGGAAAGAAAAGCAGCAGGUUAAUACCCCGCUGUUCUGACGGUACCCAAAGAAUAAGCACCGGCUAACUUCGUG